CACAACGCUUUCUUUCCAAUCUCCUUGUGUUUCAGGUCUUGGAUCUGUUCCUGGGCUCCUACACUCUGAUAUCCAUCUCACCCGCUUGUCUUGGAUCUCUUCC
Oreochromis niloticus (Nile tilapia) is the source of this 103-nucleotide long non-coding RNA. RefSeq lists it as uncharacterized. The transcript has 3 exons. The record is from RefSeq and is a predicted model, not a curated record. NCBI's taxonomy places the organism in Eukaryota, Metazoa, Chordata, Actinopteri, Cichliformes, Cichlidae.